GACGAACGCUGGCGGCGUGCUUAACACAUGCAAGUCGAACGGAAAGGCCCUGCUUUUGUGGGCUGCUCGAGGGGCGAACGGGGGAGUAACACGUGAGUAACCUGCCCUUGACUUUGGGAUAAGUUAAGGAAACUGAGGCUAAUACCAGAUAGGAGCUCUCGCUGCAGGGUGGGGGUUGGAAGGUUUCGGCGGUUGGGGGUGGACUCGCGGAGUAUGGGCUUGUUGGUGGGGUAGUGGCUUAGCAAGCCUUUGACCGGUCGCCGGCCUGGGAGGGUGACCGGGCACAUUACUCCUGAGGUACGGCCCAGACUCCAAUGGUAGGCAGCGGUGGGGAACAUUACACAGUGGGCGGAAGCCUGAUGCGGCACCGCCGCGUGCGGGAUGACGGCCUUCGGGUAGUAAACCGCUUUCGCCUGUGACGAAGCGUUAGUGACGGUACUGGGUAAAGAAGCACCGGCUAACUACGUG
Molecule: ribosomal RNA, 468 nt
Filed under: uncultured bacterium
Lineage: Bacteria
Description: partial 16S ribosomal RNA
Rfam family: Bacterial small subunit ribosomal RNA
Source: RNAcentral